UGGGUAACCUGCCUCAAAGAGGGGAAUAGCCUCCCGAAAGGGAGAUUAAUACCGCAUAAUAUGUUUAAGUCGCAUGACUUUAACAUCAAAGGAUUUUCUUUUAGAACUUCCACUUUGAGAUGGACCCGCGGCGCAUUAGCUAGUUGGUGAGGUAACGGCUCAUCAAGGCAACGAUGCGUAGCCGACCUGAGAGGGUGAUCGGCCACAUUGGAGCUGAGACACGGUCCAGAUCCGUAACGGG
RNAcentral lists this ribosomal RNA (241 nucleotides) under uncultured bacterium. RNAcentral describes it as "partial 16S ribosomal RNA". It matches the Rfam family "Bacterial small subunit ribosomal RNA", at positions 118 to 347 of the family's 1533-position model. The record is from RNAcentral.